GCAUUUGUAGCUCAGUUGGUUAGACCACAUGUUUACUAAGCAGGGGUCUUGAAUUCGAUUCUCAACGAAAGCA
Molecule: transfer RNA, 73 nt
Filed under: Nicotiana sylvestris (wood tobacco)
Lineage: Eukaryota; Viridiplantae; Streptophyta; Magnoliopsida; Solanales; Solanaceae
Also listed under: 1 other name
Rfam family: tRNA
About the family: Transfer RNA (tRNA) molecules are approximately 80 nucleotides in length. Their secondary structure includes four short double-helical elements and three loops (D, anti-codon, and T loops).
Source: Rfam by way of RNAcentral